UUUUAUUAUUAUCAUAGUAUAAAAUCUUCUUUGAUAGUGGUAGCAACUCUAACAGGUAAACUUUUUUAAAAUGACUAAAAACACCAGCUGGCUGCUAAUGGUUACAAACAUACUUACCUAAAAAGGGGUGCUAAUGGUCUCUAUUGUACCUUUUCUUCAUAUCACAUCAAAAGGACUUUCAUAAACGUAGAUUAAGUGUGUUAGUCCUGCAUCAUACUUUUGCAUUAUGGAUGUUAUGUUGGCAGCCUAUGCAAUGCAUGGUUCGUGGUACGUAGGGCUAUCUCUUUGAUGCUCUAUCAAGUUUGCAGUCACUGGGAAAUGUGGCACUUAGUUUUAAACUUCAGUAGGUACAAAACUAGAUUUAGAUUAUAUCUUGUUAUCUGGAGAACAUGUAGCAAGAUAUGAUACAACAUGCAUGCUGUGUGCAAAAAGACUUUAUCAUUAGCAAGAUAUGAUACAACAUGCAUGCAUGUAGUACUUAAAAGAGUUUGCUCAUCAAAAAACCAGUAAGAAUUGUUUGUACUUUACGGUUACAUAAACAACACCAAUAGCUAUGCAACUAGACUUUUUUAACCUCUGUACUUGAUGUUGAUUGUGAACGUUUUUUUUCCUUCUGUUGGUAAGUUGCUUGUUUAAUAUUAUUAUGCAAUGCAGAUUGCAGACUUUUCUCUAAAUAUUCAUAAUUAUUCGGUGCCUUCACAUAAACCUUCUUUUAUAUUCCCUUGUUGCUUUUCUUGAUUAUCUUCUUAGGGUUGCUGCAUUUUACUUCCUUAAUCUUUAUGUUAAAGGGUGUGCCUAUAGCAUUAAGCCUAGGGAGUGAUAAUGCUCGACACUGGAGUUGUGGAUGAGCCGAAGCACAAACUUAUAAUAGGCAUCCUAGGCCUAAGUGUAUAAUUAAUGAUAAAUAAAAGGUUUGUUUGAUUCUUACGAAUUAGAUACAAACUUUAAAGCUAAUAAGCA
RNAcentral lists this long non-coding RNA (960 nucleotides) under Musa acuminata (dwarf banana). RNAcentral's name for it is "long non-coding RNA (MACU_LNC006699)". The record is from RNAcentral. Lineage: Eukaryota; Viridiplantae; Streptophyta; Magnoliopsida; Zingiberales; Musaceae.